AGACCCGAAACCCGGUGAUCUAGCCAUGGGCAGGUUGAAGGUUGGGUAACACUAACUGGAGGACCGAACCGACUAAUGUUGAAAAAUUAGCGGAUGACCUGUGGCUGGGGGUGAAAGGCCAAUCAAACCGGGAGAUAGCUGGUUCUCCCCGAAAGCUAUUUAGGUAGCGCCUCGUGAAUUCAUCUCCGGGGGUAGAGCACUGUUUCGGCUAGGGGGCCAUCCCGGCUUACCAACCCGAUGCAAACUGCGAAUACCGGAGAAUGUUAUCACGGGAGACACACGGCGGGUGCUAACGUCCGUCGUGAAGAGGGAAACAACCCAGACCGCCAGCUAAGGUCCCAAAGUCAUGGUUAAGUGGGAAACGAUGUGGGAAGGCCCAGACAGCCAGGAUGUUGGCUUAGAAGCAGCCAUCAUUUAAAGAAAGCGUAAUAGCUCACUGGUCGAGUCGGCCUGCGCGGAAGAUGUAACGGGGCUAAACCAUGCACCGAAGCUGCGGCAGCGACACUCAGGUGUUGUUGGGUAGGGGAGCGUUCUGUAAGCCUGUGAAGGUGGCCUGUGAGGGUUGCUGGAGGUAUCAGAAGUGCGAAUGCUGACAUAAGUAACGAUAAAGCGGGUGAAAAGCCCGCUCGCCGGAAGACCAAGGGUUCCUGUCCAACGUUAAUCGGGGCAGGGUGAGUCGACCCCUAAGGCGAGGCCGAAAGGCGUAGUCGAUGGGAAACGGGUUAAUAUUCCCGUACUUGGUGUUACUGCGAAGGGGGGACGGAGAAGGCUAUGUUGGCCGGGCGACGGUUGUCCCGGUUUAAGCGUGUAGGUGUGUGUUCCAGGUAAAUCCGGUUCACUUUAACAC
This 847-nucleotide ribosomal RNA is filed under the name Salmonella enterica subsp. enterica serovar Infantis. RNAcentral describes it as "partial 23S ribosomal RNA". It matches the Rfam family "Bacterial large subunit ribosomal RNA", at positions 711 to 1556 of the family's 2925-position model. The record is from RNAcentral. Lineage: Bacteria; Pseudomonadati; Pseudomonadota; Gammaproteobacteria; Enterobacterales; Enterobacteriaceae. RNAcentral also lists the same sequence under 3 other names.